RNAcentral lists this ribosomal RNA (253 nucleotides) under uncultured bacterium. RNAcentral describes it as "partial 16S ribosomal RNA". It matches the Rfam family "Bacterial small subunit ribosomal RNA", at positions 524 to 776 of the family's 1533-position model. The record is from RNAcentral.
UACAGAGGUCUCAAGCGUUGUUCGGAUUCAUUGGGCGUAAAGGGUGCGUAGGUGGCGAGGUAAGUCGGAUGUGAAAUCCCGGGGCUCAACCCCGGAACUGCAUUCGAUACUGCCUUGCUAGAGUACUGGAGAGGAGAUCGGAAUUUACGGUGUAGCAGUGAAAUGCGUAGAUAUCGUAAGGAAGACCAGUGGCGAAGGCGGAUCUCUGGACAGUUACUGACACUGAGGCACGAAGGCCAGGGGAGCAAACGGG